AGCACUUGUUCAGGCUGUGACCACAGAAAAAAAGUGAAGGCUUUGUGAGAACAAAGAUGCCAUAAAAUGUUCACAAAGCUUCUUACACUGGAAGGACCUUGGAAUCAAUAAGGUGCAGGACCAAAUUUUAAGCCUUUAUGAUGUAAUUGUGGACCUGGUUAGAAUACUUUCCUAGGAACUUCAAGCACUGAAAUCUACCUUACACCAUGGGUUGUGUCUGAUGUCCAGGCUUUGUAAAUUGGGAGAAUGAAGAAGGAGAAAAGCAACAUGACAUGAAUCAUCAGGUAGCUCAGUGGCAAAGCUGGGGGAGAAUUCAGGAAGUGACAGUUGUUCACAUUGCAUGAAACUGAUGGGCAGAGGACCACAAGUUCUACUGAUAUCAGAUUUGGUUGAAGUUUGAUCAUUCUCAAGCCACGGAAAUGACAGUCACACUGCAUGACUGCCAAAGCCUUGUCUCUUGGAAACCAUCCUACAAAAGCUUCUGGAUCAUGAAAAGAUUAGAUACAGCUAAUUAUUUCUCAGAUGAGAACAUUUCCCAUGGAUUCUCAAACUCCUGUCUGUGAAUUACUUGUAGUAGGCCAAUUCCUUUGUGGAGCUUCCUAAUAUGCAGAAAUGCCACUGGAACAGAUUUCCACAAAGUUUCAGAGCUCAUUUCAAGCUUACAUAAACCAGCUCUUAGCCUUGGACCUAUAACAUAAAAUACAGCAAUUAUACAAGCCACUCAACAUCAGUUUU
Molecule: non-coding RNA, 735 nt
Organism: Meleagris gallopavo (turkey)
Lineage: Eukaryota; Metazoa; Chordata; Aves; Galliformes; Phasianidae
Source: RefSeq, a predicted model, not a curated record